This 15475-nucleotide long non-coding RNA is filed under the name Gallus gallus (chicken). RNAcentral describes it as "lncRNA (ENSGALG00010014138.1)". Lineage: Eukaryota; Metazoa; Chordata; Aves; Galliformes; Phasianidae. The record is from RNAcentral.
CAGAGUCUUGUUGCCGUGCAGCACCGUGCUGCUGGGUAGGCUGCUGUAGGUGGGGUAUUAUUUGCCUGGCUGAAUAGCAGGGAUGUGCCCAAGGCAAAGGGAAAGUUUUACUGUCUUAACACAUUAACCUUGCAGGCUCUGUCCUAGAAAUGUUAAAAAAAGCCACAAGGUCAUGCUGCUUGAAGAGACACUGCUCUUGCAUAUGCUUUAAAAUGAGCUGUAUUUUUUUACUGCAGUCUAUCAGUUGUGCCUUCAUGGGUCAGUCCAUUUUGGGGAGAACUAGCUUGUGGCUUGGCUCCAUGAGCAAUAAAAAACAAGCAUAGGCAGACUUUUCUCUCAGCUGCUCCAGACCUAAGUGUGGGGCAGGCUAAAUUACAAAGACCCAAAAUAGGAAGCAGACACUGACAAACAUGAAAACCCUACUUCAGGAGCCUUGAAACAGUUGGGGAUUUAUUUCUCAAACACAGUGAAAAGUUUCUUAUCCCCCCAUUAAAUGAUCCCAUGUUCAUAAUAUAACAGUGGGGUGCACAGAUCUACACGCAGUGUUAAUUCUGUCACCCCAGUGCCACUAUCCCCACCAUGGGGUUUGGAAGGCCUCACACUGGGUGGCCCUGUGCCUUCCCACUGCCAGGGGACAGCACAGCAUGCCCCAGUGGAGGUGCGGUGCUGGGCUGGAAACAAGGCCUCGUCACAGAACAAGUGGCUGAGAAAGCAAAAUCUGUCAGAAUAAGUAUUGUGGGGAAAGAGAGAUCAACUCUGGCUUUUAUUAUUCUGCAGGAAAUGAUUAUUUUUGAAGGUAAAGUUCUGGAAUGCUUAUGAACCAUUAUAAAAUACAACUUGCCAACUAUCUGGUCUCAAGGGCUGGUUUAUUCCAAAACAUUGCUGUCCUGGAUGCUACAGUCUGACAGACCAGUGCAGGGUCAUGUUCUGACCAACUGGUCAUGUUAUGCAGCAUACAUCUCAGAGCAGGAGAUUGCCUGAGAGCUGUGGUAUCCUCCAAACCUCAUCAAUUUGAGAGGAGACAGAAGACUAAAAGAAGGGAUGUUUUGCAUACCUUGUCUCAAAUAAGUACCCAGAUGCAUACCUUAGGCAAGAUUUCUGAAUAUCAGUGCAUACUUUCAGUGACUGUAUGUCAAAGGCAUAUUGAUUAUUGUCGCUUAGGCUAAUGCAUACUGUAUGCUACAGUGCAGCUCCAAUAGAUUUCCUAAGAGCAAGCAUGAGUUAAUGUCACAAAAAUCACCAGCGCCAAGUGGGAAUAGCUCUAUUUAAUACAGAGAUUAUGGCAGUAAACUUCUGAUCUGUUCCUUAUGAUCACUUAUCCUAGCGCUGUGUAAAUGCUUUUUAGGAAAAGUCUUAGCUUCAUGAGAUUGAUGUUCACAAAGAAAUCCAGCCCGGGUGGGUAUAUUGGCUCUAUCAGUCAGCCUUCGACUGUUCCUUCCACAAAGCUUGCUUUCCAAAUCUGGUUUCAAGAGCUGUUUGCUUGACAGACUGCUUCACAGACUUGCAAUUGUUUGUUUCUGGCUCUUUUUGAUUGCUCCACUGAUCUCUCGACUUUGGCCUUGAGGCUAUUAUUUAUAUUGUACUUUUAUUGGUGUUUGCUAUUUGAAACUUUGUUUUCAGUAGAUUUGCUGCUCUGUCCUAAACUGCUUUUCUGAUUAAAUUCUGUUGAAGAGGCUUGGUAGAUUGCUUCACCUUUUUUUUUUUUUUUUUUUUUUCCCUGUUUGUCCUCCUCCUAAUUGUUCAUUUGAGAACUCACCUGCCUUUUGUUUACACCUUCCUUUGUGAUUUGUUCUCAGAUUAACAGGGGCAGCUGCACAGUUUUUACGUCUAUUAGUUCUUUGCAGUGGAUCAGGCAAAAUAUUAACCUGUACUGUUCUCCCCCAAAAAAUCAAGUGAACUGCAAUAGACUCUUUCUCUCACAGUUCAGAAAAAAGAAGUAUUUUAAUUUUUGAUAGUCACUGCAGGCAAGAAUUUUUGUGUGUCUAGAUGUGUCUGCUAUAAGUACAGGAUGAGCAUUAGAAUCGGGACAUAUGAAACUAGCUUGCUCUUUCUGCCAAUAUGUAUGAACUUAUAUUUGCAAGAACUUGAGUGUGAAAUUCAAAUCCAAAUUCAGGUCUCAGCCCUGCAAUGCCAUGAGCUCAGUGGGACUGUAUGCAUGCACUCAGUAUUUCCUGAGCAUAAAUCGUUCCAAGGUGUUGUGGUUCUCAGCUCAAUAAUUCUUUGAAUUUAUCUACCAGAUGUAGUUUGGUCCUCCUUAGAUCUGCUAAUCAAGUGGCUUCUUUCUUGAUUUGAGUGAUUUACAAACUUCUGUAAUUUCUCUGUUAUUGAGCUUUCUGCCUGUUUACAUUUUACUGCUGAUUGAUUGGUUGUUGCCAUAUCCUUAAUGGGGAGCCAGCUUUCCUGCAAUUUUCUUUAUUAUUGUCUCUAAUGUGGGACUUUCUUCCUACUAAUACUUUCCAAAAAUGUGUUUUCUUUUUUUGAGCUUCUUGGUAGAUAAGAGAGAGAGAGGAAUGGAUAUGAAAUGCCAUAGAUUAAGUAACCUCCCAUGAGACCUGUUAUUCAUACCAAAUUUCAGUUCUUUUCAUAGAAUAGUUUGGGUUGGAAGGGACCUUUCAGAUCAUCUAGUGCUUUUACUGAUUUUAGGUUGUUAUGUUUCAGUUAUUCAAACCUGAAGCUUUAAGACCUUUACUGAGCAAGAAGGUGAAUGGUCACAAUGACAGCUAAAGCCAAAGAUCUCUGCAAGUGCUUCAGGUUUUAUUUCGGAAUUGGACAAGAUGUUCAGAACAGGAACAUCAAUGGGGAAAGAGUUAAUUUCUGUGCAAUUCUGUAUUUGCCUCACAUUUUGCAAAGGCACACUAGUAUUCAUCAUUCUCCUCACUCUAACAGUCUGACUGAAUGGUUUUCUGGGUUUGUUUACAUUGCUCAUCUUUGCUAGUCUCUGGCCAUUUCAGUUUUUAACAGUCCUCUCAACCUUUCAUUGUUUUCUCUAUUGAUGUGGUGACUCUUUUCACAUCUGGGGUUGCUGAAACAACACAAGGAAUGGGUUCUACUCUCUUUCCAAGCCAAUGUGGCAAUGGUCUCCAUACAUGGCCUUAGUGAAACCUUCUCCACUGUGUGAGCUGCAGCCUGGGCUCAUUCCAGCCUCCAUUCCACUGCAGGUUCUAAUACUGCAUCACUUCUUUGAACAUCUGAAGCUGUUUAUAUUAAUAAAUUGAUUAUAAACACAGUACACUGUUUGAUCCUCCAUGUGCUUUUGAUGCUAAUUCUACUUUAAUUUAUUUAUUUGUUAAUAUAAAUACCUUAAAUAAAUUUAGUUUCCUAUGAUAGCAUGUAUUUGCUUCAGUGGAUUAUGCCCUAUUCUCUAAGUUCAAUAUGAGUUUUCUCUCCUGUCCAGAGUCUGUCAGAGAUGCAGGGCAUUUGAUUUCUUUCUCUUGGGAGGAAGAUUCAAAAUCUACUGUAGGACUGACUUCAAAGAGUUUCUUCCAGUGCAGCCUCUGUGGAAAUUUAGCCUACUUAUGCCAGCAAAUCUACGACCGACUGUGUCACAGUGUCUUAUCUGCUGGAGUCCACAAAGCAUUUGAUAAUCUUCUUCAAAAACAAUGCAUUUAGGUGUUUCAUUUCCAAAGAAGAAGUGAGGAAAACAUAAUUAUUGGAAUCCAGUUAAAAAAUCACCACCAACAAAAAACUACCACCACCACCAAAAAACUACCACCACCACCAAAAAACUACCAACCACCACCAAAACAGGACGUUUCUUCUUUCUUAUUUUUUAUUUUCAAAUCAGCCUAAAAACGUUCUCUCACUGAUGUGGUAGUGUACCUUUGUGCACCAGGUCAAUGUUUCUUCUGGAAAUAUCUGGUAAUUGCUUUUGAGCUGUAAGCUCUCUUGAGCAGCCUAGCUCAGGAGAACUCCUCAAGGGUAUUUCAAUUGCUCAGAUCCACUUAGAUGUGGUAAGUUUCUGUGAAUCUUUGGGCUUUCUUCCAGAAGAAAUGGGUCUGACUGGAAGACUCUCUCUGCUGCAAGAAAAUCUAAGCAGCAUUCUUUGAGAUGCAGGCACUCCUAAAAUGAGAGCAAAGUAAAGCUACCAGUCAUCAGCUAGAAAAAGGACGAAAGGAGAAAAGAAAUGAAAACACAGAGGCUGUAGUUGAUAAUUAAUAUGUAAGUCUCUACAGAGUCCACAUAGCCUUUGUAGUAUCUGGAGAGAAAGAGAUGUCAACAAGAUCAUAAAUAUUCUCCUGUACUUCCAUCAGAAGAUAGUUUAGGCUUCACCUCUUCAAAUAUUUGUUCACAUAUUUAAUCUUACUGACUUUUCAAAUGGUAAAAUUUAACAUGUAGGCCUACCUACGCAAGAACAAGUGCACUUUUUUUUUUUUUUUUUCCAAAGUGCAUGUCAGCCAAACUAAGCUGCAGCAAAAAAAUCUGGGAAUGUUUCCAAACCAUUGUGUGUAGGCUUGCUGGAGGGGUUCCUGAAUUGCAUCUCUCUCAGAGUUAGUUGAUACUCUUGAGUAUCAGAAGUGUGAUGGAUACACAUGGUUUUAUUUGAGUUAUCUCAAGUGCUUUACAGUGAGCCAAAUUUCCAUUUGCCAGUAACUGAGUUUUCAAGGGGGAAAAAAACAUCUUGCCCAGUUGUGACAAAAUAUAGAAAUUACACUUGUCUGAGGGAAAAAUGAAAUCUGUUUUGAUUAAGAAACUAAAGUAUUUUGGAGGGAGGUAGAGCAGAAGCAGGAUGAUCGUUUGAGUGUAAUGUUUAGAUUUUGUGGGUCCACAAAUAUAUUUCUAAUGAAAUAUGUCUGCAUGAAAUUUUCCAUAAUGGCUAUCUGCCUUGGGUGGAAUAUUUCUGGAAAAAACUUUCAAGACAGAAUAGUUAAGCCACUUUUAAAAAACACUUUUAAGAGAAAAGAUAUUUUUCUGAGUAAAAAGCAAAAAACCCUCAACCACUCAAUGAGUUGGUUGGGGAAGUAUUGGGCCUCUGUAGCUCUGAAAUGGCAUCCUGAAGCAUAGUAUGCUUUUUUCUCUUUUAAGGAAUUAUCUUUUUGCCUUCUUUUCCACUGGACAAGUUGGCUGGUGUUAGCCAAUGUGAACAUUUUGAAAAACCUCUUUACAUGUGCUCUACUGAGACUUGUUAAGGUUUGGCAGCUAAAUUCUUAGAAAAUAGGGAAAAGGGACAAAGGAGGAAAAAAAAAAGAAAAAAAAAGAAGGAAAAAAAAAAAGGAGAAAAGGUAGAAAUGGAAGAAAAAGAGAAAAAUUUGGAAAAAAAAAAUCUGUUGAUAGCAGAUGGGCACUAUCUCCAGGGUGCCUUGCUUAAAUCAAGAUUUUCUCAGGUGCAUUUUUCCCAGUUGAAGGGAGCUACCCUGCUGCCUGGAGCCCUUGUGGGAGCAGGCAAGUUCUUCAAGAUGCUUUUCUCUGUGACAGAUAACAAAGAGCGUAAAUGGGAAAACUUAUGGAACUCUUUAUAAAAACUUACAGAACUCUAGAAGCACUAAAACAGCCAAACUGCAGAAGAAAUGCAAAUAGGAAUUCAGUUCAUUGUUUCUCCCUCAACAAGUUCCUACAUGUACCUAUUGCCACAGAAUGGAGACUUCCUUCUUGUGUCCUUGCCCAGGAAAAAAAAAAAAAAGAAAAAAAAAAAGAAAGAAAGAAACUAAAAAUGCUCCUACAUUAAGUUUAGGACAAAAGGAAAUACAUUGUGCAUAGAGAGGCUGGUGCUUGCUUGAAUUCCUGUGCCAAAUGAAGACUGGCAAUUUUUCAAUGAUUUAAAUCAUGGCCAAGAUUUCUCUGUCAGCAAUCAAAUAUUGGCCUUUUAAUCCUUUGGAAAGUUAGUUUUAUUUGCUUUCUCACACCCAGGAGUUUUUAGGACAGCUUUGUGCUGUACCAUCAUCCAUGUUGUGAACCCAUUGGGCCCAUGGUAUAUUGUCCCGCUAUUUACAGCAGUACGAGGAAAAGGGGAAAGAAUACUGUCUUAAGAGGGUGAAGAUGUGUUUCAGACAUUAACUACGCAUGAACAGUUUACAACAAGCAGAAAGCAACAGAGAAUUAAGAAGCAUUUUUCUCCUAAGGAGGUCUUCCUCCCUCACUAAGAUACUGCCUAUUCUCAUGGAGCAUCGCUGCAGGGAGAUGACACCCCAUGUCUUCGUUCAAACAGCAUAGGUGAAUAACAUAGUUUUUUUGUUUAUUGGCUCAAAUCUGAAAAGUGAGUGGGGAGCAUGAGGAGUCGAGUAGAAGAGAUACUAUUCAAUUAAGCUAAAUUCAAAACCUUUUAUUUAAAUUGUGAGAUCUUUAACUUCUUUUUCUUGUUAGCUGGAUAAUUUUAAAACAGAAUAAUGGUGUUUUGAAAGGAAAAUUAAAAAAAUCAUUUAUAAAAUAAAAUUAAAUGAACAUUUCAGCUUUUCCAGACAAGCCUUCCAAUUUAAAAAAUGCCAAAAUGGAAAUGUCAAAAUGGAAAUGUCAAAUUGUCUUUUCUUUUUCUAUAACUUUUUAGUCUCUUCCCCAUCAUGUUGGUGAAUCAUGAAGUUUUUUUCCCUUUAAAUUUCCUGAGACAGAAACAUACCACAAGGACUUGGUCCAGCUAAAAAACUCAGUAGCCAUUUUCUGUGUAGAGGUUGCAAAAUGUGGGGUAUAUUCUUUACAUUUUAGCCUCUGUAUAUCACAGACCAGUGUGGUUUGUAUAUAAUUCAACCUUCUCUUGCCACAAGACACUGAGAAGAGGUUUGACUGGCUGCUCUGACUGCAUGUUUCCUCUGUUAUCACUCCAUUCUUCCCCACAGAGUGUAUGUUUGUUUUGGGGUUAUUUGGUUUAGGGUAUUUGUUUUAUCAUAUCUGGAAACUAUAACCUUUGAAAAACCUCUACCUACAAAAGAUGAGCCCAAUAAUGUAUUUUUAUGCCCAUUCAUUUGCAUCCAUCUUGGGGAAUAUAUAAAAAUAUCUGCUUUCUGCCCACCAGAAAUUCCUGUUCUGUGACAUGCUCUUCUCCAAGAUCCUCUCAGCUUUAUCCAAAUAAGUUUAAUUUCUAGCUACCAUUCUUCUUGUAUAUGGAAAGCCCCUCAAGUGUCUUACCAUGACUACUACUGUUUGCUGUAUCAGUUCCACGCGCUAAUAUGAUUUCCUGCAAGAAGAGAUGAAUAUAUUAGAUCUGCAGUGAAAUCAUAGAGGGGUGGUGGAAUAGAAAGCCUGACCAGUGUUUUUAAAGAGAAUAAUCUCAAUGAAAGAUGCUAAAUUGGUUCCAUGAUAUGAAUGUAAGUUGUACAGUCUUGCUCUAGCACAGGCUCCUGACUUUCUCUUUGGUUUUCUGGCUGGCAACGGAUAUCGUUGCUGCCACCUGUUUGAAGACAAUUGUGCAACUGGGACCGUGGAAUGAUGUCCAGUUGCCUUUUUUAGAAUAUGAAUAGGGCCUUUGAGUUUGGCUGCGCUGAGCAGUUUGAGGCUGAAUCACUCUGUAGACUUGCCAGAGAAAGCGUUUAGCCUAUGGACAUGAGCCAAAGCCCACUGAAUCUCACAGCAAGGCUCUUCUUAGCUUCGGUGGGCUCUGGCUCAAACUCUAUAUGAAUGAGAAUUUCUUCUCGGGAAUUAAAUAAAAUUCCUUAUUUUUAGUUCCUCUUUUUAUUUUCCCAUAGAUUCUCACCUGUACUUUUCCAUUUGAACCACUACCUCUUUGCUCCACUCAUCCCUGCUCUGGAGCUAGAGUGUUAGGAAUGAUGGCAACACAGGUGCUCAGUCAUGAAUAAGGCAGGUACAAGGAGCCGUCUCAGAGCUCAGCUGCCUGAACUGCACUGUACCCACUGUCCACUUUUACUUACUUUUCAUUUCUGAAUGUGUGCUAUUUUGAAAUGCCUCUAAUGCUGUUGGACCCUGAGCUAUUUUGGACAUGAGCAUGUCAUUUCCCCUCUGCUGCAAUCACAGUUGGAUCCUGCAGGCAUUUCCCAUAACAGGCCUCAGUUAUCAACAGCAAGAGUUUUAGUGUAUUUCCCUUUGCAAAGACUUUUCUUGCCAGAUGGGAGUUGUUAGUUGUUUAUAUCAGGCUAUGAGUAAUGCCCUUUCACUAGCACUGUACACAAUGUUUUUUUUUUUUUUUUUUUUGACAUUUAUUCCUUCUGUUGUUAUACAAUGUUAGCUUUGCAAGUUAUAAAGAACAACCUUUUUCCCUCAGGUGUCCUUUUGUGUGCUUUUUGCUCUUUUUUUUUUUUUCUUCAGAUUUUCUCUUCCAAUUUUGAAGGUAAAAUGAAUGUAUAAAAAUAGAAAAAAGAACAACAAACCUUCCAAGUCUCCUACUCACUGCUGUGAAUAGAUCCUAGACAUAGAUUUGUGAACCCAUUUGUGGGCUUCUCAACUUCCAUUUCUUCUUGAACCUCCUUUAUGUCUGUAACAGGACUACUAUUUCAUUCUGUUUUCCUUGACACUGUUGGACACAACCUAAAUACCUAAAUUUCACCAUCUCCAAGCUCUUCCAUUACAUGGUGGGAUGAAUCUUUUCUCUGCAGACCUCACUCUAUUACCAUCCAUACAGUAAGACCUUACAUUAUGGGUCAUUGAGUAUUUUCUGUGAGAGGAGCCCUCAACUCGUGCUUAUUCUGAGUUUUGACUCUAGGUGUUUGGACAGUCAGCCUGAAGUCUUGAUCAAGAAGAUUUUUUUUUGUGAUAACUUUAGCAUCUCUCAUGCUCUUUCACUUCAGAGAUAGAUAGAUAUUAUUUAAUCAUUCCAUCUGCUUGCUUCCCUAAAUGGUUCAGGAUCCCUUUAGAUCUGCUAAGAAGAUGGGUCUGUUUGAGCUAUCAGACUAAGACCUUUUUUAACAUUACAAACCUGAAAAUAUUUUCCAUGCCCCACUGUACUGAAUUAGAACCUCCACGACUUGUUCCUACAUGCUUGAACUAUCUUUUACAGGCUUCUAAGAAGUAGCCUUUAACAACAAUAAAGCCCUUUAACCGUAAAUAUAUGGGUAACAUCUGUACUCUGCACUUUACAGUGGUAGUAAUUUAGGAGAAACUCGGCAGAACUUCUAAUCUGAUCCUAAUUAUAAGGUUGCCCUUUUGCUUUUAGUCACUGCUUUGGAGUGUCCAGCACUUAGGAGUGUGGAAGUUCUUUGUAAGAAUGCACAAGGAAAUAAAUAACUGCUGUUAAAACUCUGUGUUCUCUCUAGCAAUAACUCAACCAUGGAAAAAAAUAAAGGAAGAAUGUACCCUCAGGUAUACUUUCCUUGAUGCAUAUAAAUUCAAGUCCCAUGAAAAUGUUUAUCUGUAAAUAAGCAGCUUGGUUUAGUCUUAUUUCUCAAGAUUAUCUGGUUGUGAGUUAGAGUCUGCACUCGGUAAUAAGUGAAAAACAAGUUUGAUCACUGGAAUUCUGUUAUUUUCAUCUGCAAUAUUAUGCAAGAUCAAGGUAACAAAUUUUGUUGCCAGCUGGAGCUGCAGGGUAACAGGUUGCUGCUGGUUUUCCCUGUAGACAACAGUAAAGAACACAUUUUAUGUCAAAGUAAUUGCACUAACAGGUGCCGUUGAGCAACUGUGUUUUGGUUGCGACACUCUUGUGGCUCAGCACUUACCACAAAUGUUUAUAUAAAAAAAAUUCAGUUCUGCUUUUAAAUUCCUAUUCAAACUGACAAGAAGGAAUAGGGUAAACAAGAGUGAAGCAAUAGCUACAGUUGAAAAACUAGAAAGUCCCUUUCCGACUUCUGGUGGUUGAAUGCUGCUUUCCUAUCAAAAGUCCUUCCUUGGGCAUUUAUCACAGAGACUGUUAGCAUACUUCCAGGGCGGGCAACAUGAAGACCUGUAAGAACUGAGUGAGAUUCUUGCAGUGGGAUACAUGGUGAUGUGAUUAUGUCACAUAUUUGGGGGAUAAUGUAAUUUCAGGCUCCAAAUACAAGACACUGCUGCCCAAGCAGUGGGCUCUCUCCCUCUUGCCUUUGUUGUGUACCCAGCUGCAGAGCAGUGCGUGCCAGAGAUGAAAGCUUCAUGUGAGAUGCCCCAAGGGUGUGUUUACAAUGUUGUAGGUAUAUAUAGUGAUGCAAUGCCACUGAUAUAAAUCUCCUAAAGAUGGACUAAAGAUGGGAAAAGUGGCUUUAGCUAUAUCAGUGUCCCCAUAAAACCAAAUUGUAUCUUAUGCUAACUUGGGUAUCAAUUCCAAAAUUCUUUCUUUCUUUCUUUCUUUCUUUCUUUCUUUCUUUCUUUCUUUCUUUCUUUCUUUCUUUCUUUCUUUCUUUCUUUCUUUCUUUCUUUCUUUCUUUCUUUCUUUCUUUCUUUCUAUCUGUCUAUCUAUCUAUCUAUCUAUCUAUUUUUACGCCAAAUAUUUAUGCCUGCAGUCUGCAGCGUUCUUUGAAUCUAAAAGAAUCAGCUCUUCCUAACAAAAUAUGCUGAGAACAGUCUGGAGGUUGUACCUUCACCUCUCCUUCUAGAUACAUCUCAUGCCCACAGACUCCAUGCCUUUUUGGUUUGCCUUAGCAUUUCUCAUAUAUUCUUUUCUGGUUUUAGUAUGGAUAGAUGAUUUCUGUGAGGACUGCAAUAUUUGACAAGACCCAUUCUUUCUUCAAUCUCUGUUUUCUCAAUCUUUUCCUUCUUGGAGACAUUGUCUUUGCUUACUUGUGGACUUUCUCCAAAUCUUCCAAUUGUUUCCUUUCCUCCACAUAUACCCACCAGGCUUAUUUCUCUGCAAGUUAUUUCUCUGGACUUACAGUCCAGCUACUGUAUCUUAAUUAACUGUUCAUCAUUACUGCAGCAAAUGUAUACAUGCAUGUUCAGUGCCACAGCCAAGGCAAGAGCAUGCACAGCUGUAUAAACAUCGGUGAAUGUGGGCUAAGAUAAUUCACGUUACUUCACAUUCUGUAUGGUUGAAGAGUGUCCGUGGUGAUCAAGGAAGACUGAACCCUAUAUACAACUCAUCCUGUGUUUUGGCAUCCUAAGACUUCCCUGUUCUCAUUCCCUUCACCUCCAAUUCAUUUUGAUUGUGAUUAGUAAUUUUUUUUUUUCUUUUGUACUGGUGUAGUCCCACUGCCAACAGUGCUAUGCCAUAAAUUGCAUGAUCCCACUCCAAGCUCCUUUGCUUCCACUUUUAUGAGAAUGAAAAACACUUCAAUGGUAUGGAGAGAUAUUUACAGUUCAUGCACUCUUUUUACUUUGUUUUCCCAUGGAAGUAUCCCUAAAGUUUUGCUAACAGUUAUUUGCAUGGAUGGAAGGCCUCCAUCUUAGUUUGGAGGCCUCCUCUUAGUUUGGUUUGCUCAGUGCCUUUAAUUGAUGUUACAAAUAGAUUCCCAUUGUUUAGUGAAGAACACAGGGUGUUGGGUUAUUUUUGUUGUUUUUUUUUUUUCCCAUAAAGUCUCUUUCUUACACGAUGCCCAUGCUAUAAGUGUCAGUAGCAUUUGCAUUUUUCACUCUCCAUAUCCCUUUUUUGUAAACAGCCUGAUGAAACCACUGAAGUUGGCACAUGUUUUAACUGAAUAGCCGCAGUGUUGUGCUGCCAUGCAAUGCUUUCCCCAUCCUCUUUCCCCACCCCAGAUGUCAUAUUCCCUUACAUGGACAUGUCCAAAAUGUGGUGAACCACUCCUGGCAGAGAGUUGGGCUACAGAUGGGAAGCAAAUGAGGACAACCUUCUCCAAGGGCAAAGCUGCUGUAGUCAAGGGGCUUUGUCUUUGUGACUCCCCAAAAGCUUUCAGGACAAUUUCAGCCUACAAAGACAUAUUUCGUCUUGGUCAUUUUUUGGGCACUUGAUUACAUAUAGUAAGAUUUUUGUUUUUAUGUGUGAUACAACUUUUUGUUGUUGUUGUUGUUGUUGUUGUUGUUGUUGUUCUAGGAACUCCUCAUUGUCGUCCGUUCCAGAGGGGAAAUCCAAAAAAUUUAGAUUUACUGGCAAUGUUAGAAGACAUUUGGGUAAAACUGGAGUUUAUCUGAAGUGGUUAUCUGAACUAGAUGAGAAGAAAGCAUACAGAUAUGAUAAUAAAAUACCAAAUUUCAUGUAAGGAUUCUGAGGGAUCUGGAUGUGAGUCUCAAACUUUUGAGAUGUGAGACUAUGUGGUUACAAAGUAAAAAAGGAUGGUGCACCUGGGAUCGAUAAAUCUUUUCAAUUUGUUAUUGCAUUUCCCUGAAAUGAGAGGGUUUGUUCUCUGCAGGGUGACAUGGAAGCUGCCAUCUCAUUGUAGAGCACCAUGGGCAGAGACAAACUGCUCUUUUUGAUGAGUUGCUGGCUGUUCUCUCUGCCACUCACUUGGCACGGUAGAAAAAAACCCAGCCUGAUAGAAGGGCAGCAUUUUGUCUAUUAUUUUGUUAAGACAAAUUACCUGCAAACUGUAACUCAGCAGUCUUGCUGAAAAUGCAGGUGAAAAACAGGAGGCGAUUUACUUCAGUGAAGUUGAAGGAGAACUCUGACUUCCUGCAGCAGGAAACCACCUCCUACUGAAGGAAGCUUGGAGGGCAACAUCUAACCCAGAUCAGGACUUCUGGUGGUCAGAAAGUGUUUUUAAGGGGGAAGGAAGGUGAGGGAGGGAGCAAAGCAGGGCUGAGUCUGGCACACAUGGCUGCUUUUUGUGUGGUACCAGCUCUGGGUUUCUCUAGGUGUGAGCAGGGCUGGGUGGGACAUGGGCUACCCGUGCAAGGGGUUACUUGCUCAACUUAUAAAACUGCUUCAGAUGACACCCUGGGCAGCAUGGCACACUGGUGCCACCCCUCCUGCUUCACAGCAUGGCUGCAGGGUUGCUGUGUGCUCCUGAAUGCUCACUUCCCGUGUAAGGCUUUCUAUCACAACCAAAAACUACCAGAAGGGAGAAAAGCUCUUUUCUUUUUGGUUAAAAAAAAAAAAAAAAAAAAAAAAAAAAGAUCUAGGUAUGCAGCAUCUUACUGAUUCUUUCACAAAAAUCCAAUGGAAAACAGCUUCUCUAGCCAAGAGUUUGCCACCUGAGGUGAAAUCCAACUGAAAACUCUUUUAUGGAGAGCAGAGAUCACCUCACCUGUCUUUAACUACUGCUCUUAUUUAUGAUCAGACUGCUCCAUAAAUAAAUAAAUAAAUAAAUAAAUAAAAAGAAGAGCUGCCUGCUGACUGCUGCCUGUGGUGUGGUUUGGCCACAGCUGGGCCACGAGCUGUGCACUGUGCAUCUCCCCACCUGCACCAUGCAGCUUGCUGCGGUGGGCUGCUGUGCUCUGUGGGGACGGAUGCUCUUUGCAUCUCUGGUGGCAGCUGCCAGUUGCUGGGGGGCUGCUGGUUGCUUUCAAAUCCCAUGGAGAGGCCGGUGGUGGUGGUGGAAGGAAGGAGAAGGAGGGGAGGGAGGGUUCAUUCUCAAAAAGGCUGUUACUGUUUAACUCUAUGCAAACUCAGCUGCCACAAGCCCUCGUGCAAGAAGUCUGUUCUUCCUGAAAAUGUGGCAGUCCUUUCACAGCCCCUUCCAAAAUUUACUUGGAUGGAGCUGGACUUGGCCCUUACUCAGGAGGAGUGGUUGAGCAUUUUUUAAACCUGUUGUUCCUUAACUGAAAGGCUUUUUUCCUAACAGAAAAUAAGGGCCUUACACUGCCAACCUUUCUGCCUGCAAACUGGGAUUAUAAAUAGCUUCAGCAUUUUGCUCAUGUCUGCCAACACUGACAGUUAAAAAUUAGCUCCUGAUCUGGAGCUAUUCAGAUAUGUAAUGUUUAUAUAUCUGUUUUCCUAUCAGUGUCCAGCCCCAUGGCUUUCUCACAAACUCUGCUUUCUUUACCACGCAGGGUAGAAAUACACGCUGACCACGCAGACUGCUGGUAAAAUAUCAACUAGAGCAGCAGCAACCAGGAGUCUUCAAGCAUCUUAUUCUGUUCUGACUUGAUUUCUCAGAUGGAAGUAUGCAUCUCAUCCAUGUCUGAGGAGCAAUAUACCACCUCAUCUGUCAACAGCAAGAAAUGACAAUAAUUACAAGAAAGUACAGACUAUAUCACAUGCUUUACUAUAACUUAGGGACAAACUUGAAAUUCGCAGAUAAGUUUGAGCAGAUUCUAACCUUUGUUAUGGGAAGCAAAGAUCUGAAGUCCACCGAGGCCAAUUAGGUGAUUACUGACUUGGAGCACUUUGAAUCAUCUCCACAAGUAGCACCAUUAGCCUGAGUGACCCAAUCAACUCUCCUGUCUGCAUGUGUUCAAAGACCUGUCGGCACUGCUCUGAAGAUGUGAGUUUAACUUUGCUCUCAUUUUCUCCUAGGUGAAGGAGAGAAAAUGCUGUAUUUGUUUUUAGAUGUAGUAUACCUGCAUUAUUACAAAAUACCUCUCUCAUUUCACACAGUUGUGAAGUAAAGGAAGUGGAGCACUGCCAAACACACCAAAGUUUUUUUUCCAUUUAUUGGUAACAUGAGAGAAGAAAUAAUCCAUUUUAUGUUUUACCAUGCUUGCUUAUCAUCUGAUUUAGUGCUCCUCUGUCAUGGCUAAUUACUCUAAGAUAAUUCUAGUUCUAGGUCUCAAAAUAUAUGAAUAAAACAUGUCCAGGUAUACCAUAUAUGUCAGGUGUGUGCAGAUAUCCACACAAUUGAAGACUUUGGAUUAUAAACUAUGGGAAUGGAUAUGACUAUUACAUGAAAAAUCAAUGAAAUGUUAAUCAGAUAAAGCACGACAGCAGGUGGCCAAGAUAUCAGUAGGGCACAUGUCUUAUAGCGUGUAAAUCUCUCUGCAAACAGGAAGGUCACUUUCAUGGCAUCACUAGAUAUUCUAUGUCACCAAAACAGACAAAGUCACCAAAAUGUCACCAUGCAAUGCUCUUUAAGCAAGGGUAGGUGCAUUUAAUACUUAACCCAUCCAGUGGCUGCCUUGUCCUGCUUUUCCUUCUGGAAACACACUUUCUAGUCAUGUUGGUGAAGCUUUUUUCUGCCUCAGGUGGGCAACAGUGAAGUCCUAGAGGGCAAAAAAAUCCACCAACCCUCACAACAGAAUUGAAGCUCCUUCUCAACCCAUUAUAAUGUGUUAAAGAAAUCUUACAGCUUUUAUUUCUCUGUUUUGCUUUGGGGAUAUCAGGAGCAUUAAGAGACACACUCUUGUAUCCUCUCCCAGACCUUCUGGGCUUGCUUGCUGCUUAACUAUGCUUCCAAAAGCUGUCCGUGGUUACAGAAACAAAUGUGCAAACUGCACAUGGCAAAGUUGAAUAAAAUGUGAAGUUUCUUACUUCAGAAGUGGAUGCUGCCUUGACUACUUACUGUAAGUGUUUGGAUGAUGGGACAAACCCAGUGCCUUCAUCAGCAUCUUCUGAAGCCCAGGCCCAGGCUCUGCAGGGGGACAGGCCUCUUUGUCACGAUGCACCUCUUGGUGCCCUCUCAGUACCCUGGGUGUUGACCUUCACACAGACUGAAACAUCUCCUCAGUGAUGUUUUGGAUUUCAGGGCCUUUCCUGAGUGGUAUGUUGCUGAAGAGUGGAGUCUGGAGAGAGACAGGCUUUGUUCUUCUCUUGCAAGCUGAGCUCUCCUCCCAUUUCCCGUCACAGAUCCCUUUGCAGGAUAUGUUUUUAUUGCACCCUCGCUCUCUUCGGUUCAUGCAGAGUUGUUCAUUUCCUGACUGUAUG